AAACUGCAAAAAAAGGGGGUAAUAUAAUCACACAUGCAUUAGAUCUGUAUUUUUUCUAAACAAUCAUGCAAAAUUUAACAGAGAUUAGGUAAAAAAAAACACUGUAAUAUUUAUAAAGCUUCAAAACCCAGUGUUGAAUAAAAAAUUGCAAUUAUAACCACUAGAUGUCACCGGAAGACCACUAAUGAGCUCACUAAAGACUAAAACAUUACAGUUUAUGGGCUUGUUGAGGGAUUCAUCUAGAAAAAAUGUAUAUUACUAUUAUUUAAUAUUACUGUUCAAGCAUUUCAGAUCACACUGAGUCAAAGUUUACCAAUUCAUUCAUACAGAUAUAUCUAAUGUUUAUAAUUAUGCCAGAUUAUGAUUGCAAUGAAACCUGAAAAAUGACAUAGAAGCCCAUAAAAACAGAAGACGUGCAAUAGGUUUUAUCACCCAUUAUUUAUUUUAAUUAUCUAUAUAUAUAACAAAAUGUGUGCAUCUGUGUGUGAGUUUAAGCAUGCUUAUUGAGUAUUAAUAUACUAGUUUAAACAUUUCAUGUUUGUGUGUGUCUGUAAUUCUGUCCUAUUCUUUUACUGUCAGCCAUAUCUAGGUUAUUUAAAAUCAGUGCAGUACUAUUAUCUAGACUGUGAAAUUAUACAUAAAUUGCGUAUGCUUCUUUGGAAUGAAAUUAAGACAACAUAUAACAGUUAUAAAGGUUAAAGAGACAGUGUUGUAUGAUAAAUUGCAUUUACGACCACUAGAUGUCACUGGAAGACCACUAAUGGGCUUUGCAGAGAUAUAGCCUCAGACUCAUUUUGUGAAGAUGCCUGACAUCUGAAGCAGCGCUGUACAAAAACGGUUUCGUCUAUUGACACGAAAUCCAUAACUUUUUGUCAGCACGGUCUGAAGAUGAUCUGAUUCAAUUUUGGUGAAAAUCAGACAAACGGUUGAGGAUGAGUUUAAAAAAAAAGGUUUUCAACAUGAAUCAAAAUGGCGGACAGGAAGUUUUGCUUAAUAUGACAUAAUUGGUAUGUAUGUUGUCGGCAUGUCCCAAGGAACAUUUUGAGACAUGUUUCAUGAUAAUAGGCUAAUGCAAUCAAAAGUUAUUAGCAUUAUUGUAAAUGUAAUAAUUAGCGGUUAUUGAUUGGUUUAUUACUCUUGACCAAUAGGUGGCGCUGUGACCAAAAUGAUGUGGCGUGGUCAAUGUGAUGUGACAAUGUCACAUAUUAAGUUUUGUGUAAAUAUCUCCAACCUUUGCAGAGAUACAGCCUCAGAUGCAGUUUGGCAUCUUUCCAGCAAAUUCGUUGGUACGCUAAUUGAAAACGGUUACGUGUAUCGACACAAAUUCCAUAACUUUUUGCCAGCAUGGUCUGAAGAUGAUCCAAAUCAAAUUUGGUGAAAAUCUGAGCAACGGUCUAGGAGGAGUUCGAAAAAGUAGGUUUUCAACAUGAAUCAAAAUGGCGGACAGGAAAUUUUGCCAAAAUUGACAAAUGGGGUAUCGGUGUUCUCGGCAUGACCCAAGGAAUCUAUCAACAUCAGCUUUGUUACAAUAGGCUAAUGUAUGCAAAAGUUAUUAGCAUUUUUCAAAAAAAUCGUUAUAACUAUUGACCACAAGGUGGCGCUGCCCCCAAUUUUUUUGUGUACAUUCAGGGCAUGGAGCCGGACAUUUUUGUAAUUAUUUGCGAAACGAUACGGAACUUCAUUCUUAAGAUACAGCAAUUUACAACUAAAUCCAAAAUGGCCGACGCCCAAAAUGGCCGAAUUGGGAAAAUUCGGUAUCAUUCGACUCGGAAUGAUGCACUGAAUCUAAAGACACCACUUUUGUGAUUUUUGGCAAAACCGUUCAGAAGUUAUGAGCAAAAACAUGCAUUUUUCAUAUCUCCUGACCACUAGGGGGCACAGCGCCGAAACACUGCAGGUAGUCCCAGGGAAUGGUUGUUAUGAGACCCACCAAGAUUGGUCUCAAUAGGCCAAACCGUUGCGGAGAUAUAGCCUCACGUUCACGUUUGCGUGCUUUUCGAAGAAUUCGUUCAUGAGCUAUUCGGAAACGGUUUGAGAAAUCAACUUGAUUUCCAUAACUUUUUGUCAGCAUGGUCUGAAGAUUAUCUGAUUCAAUUUUCGUGACAAUCGGUGCAACGGCCUAGGACGAGUUCGAAAAAGUAGGUUUUACGAACAAUUGACGAUAGCGAAAAAACUAAGCCUUGCGAUUUUUGAAUUUCGGUGUCCAUUCGACUCGGCAUGAGCCAAGGAAUCACAGGAAAAAAGAAUUUUCAUUUUGUGGCUUACGGUUCAAGAGUUAUUAGCAUCAAGUUUUUGAAAGUUUAGACAAUUGGUGGCGCUAGAGAGUUUGAGUUAGAGACUUCAAAUUUGCUACGGUUAAUGUUCAGACAGUCCUCUAUUAGUGUGCCAAAUUAUACAACUUUCCCGCAAUCGGUUCUAUGGGCUACCAUAGACUUGGGGUGGAAGAAGAAGAAUAAUAAUAAUAACGCCAACAAACACAAUAGGUGCCUUCGCACCUUCGGUGCUUGGCCCCUAAAUAUAGCUGCAAGCAGCAAUUACGGGGCCAAGCACUCCAACGGCAAAUGUAGGAGCUAAGCAUGGCAUGGAGCAUCACACCAAAUGCAUUAAUGAGCAAUAACAGCAAUUUUAGGAUUAUUGUAAUUGAAAUGGCUAAAAAAAUCAUAAAUACAACCUCUAGUAGCAUGAUUUACUGGCUUAUCAAAAUUGACCAAUAGGUGGUGCUGUUAUCAAGUCAAUUUGGUGUACUCUGUGUGACUUUUCAAUGACACAAACAAAGUUUGGUGUCAAUAUGCCAAAGCAUUGCAGAGAUACAGCCUCAAGUGUCAUUUUGUCAUUAUGCCUCAAGUUCGUCGCUGUGGUAUGCAAAAACGGUUUUGUCUAUCGACACAAAAUUCAUAACUUUUUGUCAGCACAGUCUGAAGAUCAUCUGAUUAAAUUUUGGUGAAAAUUGGACUAACGGCUGAUGAGGAGUUCAAAAAGUAGGUUUUCAACAUAAAUCAAAAUGGCGGACCGGAAGUUCAGCUUAAUCUGGCAUAUUUGGUAUCUAUGUUUUCGGCAUAAACCAGGGAAUAUUUUGAGACCAGUUUCGUUGCAAUAGGCUAAUGCAUUAAAAAGUUAUUAGCAUUUUUAUAAGUGUAAUUAUUCAUGGGAAAUGAAUGGUUUAUUACUCUUGACCAAUAGGUGGCGCUGUUACCAAAUUUAUGUGGCAUGGUCAGUGUGAGGUAGCGAUGACACGUACAAAGUUUGGUGUAAAUAUGUCAAAGCGUUGCAGAGAUACAGCCUCAAAUGCAUUUUGGCACCCUUCCAACAAAUUCGUUGAUGCGCUUAAUGAGAACCGUUUCAUAUAUCGACACGAAAUCCAUAACUUUUUGCCAGCAUGGUCUGAAGAUGAUACACAUCAAAUUUGGUGAAAAUCGGACUAACGGUCUAGGAGGAGUUCGAAAAAGUAGGUUUUCAACAUUAAUCAAAAUGGCGGACAGGAAGUAUGGCCAAUAUUCGCAUAAUUGGUAUCAAUGCUCUCGGCUUUACCCACAGAAUAUAGGGAGGCCAUUUUAAUUUUAAUAGUCUAAUUUAUUCAAAAGUUAUUAGCAUUUAUGGGAUAUUUCAUUAUAACUAUUGGCCACAAGGUGGCGCUGCCACCAAACUUUUUGAGUAUCUUCAGGGCAUGGAGCCAAAUAUUUUUGUAAUUAUUUGCGAAACGAUACGAUGAUGCGUUCAAAAAA
This is a long non-coding RNA of Carassius gibelio (silver crucian carp), 3722 nucleotides long. RefSeq lists it as uncharacterized. The transcript has 3 exons. The record is from RefSeq and is a predicted model, not a curated record. Lineage: Eukaryota; Metazoa; Chordata; Actinopteri; Cypriniformes; Cyprinidae.